GAUGAACGCUGGCGGCGUGCCUAAUACAUGCAAGUCGAGCGAACAGACGAGGAGCUUGCUCCUCUGACGUUAGCGGCGGACGGGUGAGUAACACGUGGAUAACCUACCUAUAAGACUGGGAUAACUUCGGGAAACCGGAGCUAAUACCGGAUAAUAUAUUGAACCGCAUGGUUCAAUAGUGAAAGACGGUUUUGCUGUCACUUAUAGAUGGAUCCGCGCCGCAUUAGCUAGUUGGUAAGGUAACGGCUUACCAAGGCAACGAUGCGUAGCCGACCUGAGAGGGUGAUCGGCCACACCGGAACUGAGACACGGUCCAGACUCCUACGGGAGGCAGCAGUAGGGAAUCUUCCGCAAUGGGCGAAAGCUUGACGGAGCAACGCCGCGUGAGUGAUGAAGGUCUUCGGAUCGUAAAACUCUGUUAUCAGGGAAGAACAAAUGUGUAAGUAACUAUGCACGUCUUGACGGUACCUAAUCAGAAAGCCACGGCUAACUACGUG
This 497-nucleotide ribosomal RNA is filed under the name uncultured bacterium. RNAcentral describes it as "partial 16S ribosomal RNA". It matches the Rfam family "Bacterial small subunit ribosomal RNA", at positions 28 to 507 of the family's 1533-position model. The record is from RNAcentral.